CUCUUAUCCAGAGAGGUGGAGGGAACUGGCCCGAUGAAACCCGGCAACCCAGGACGCUGCGGGGCGUCCGAAGGUGCCAACUCCACCGGCGGCCUCACGCCGCCGGAAGAUAAGAG
RNAcentral lists this non-coding RNA (116 nucleotides) under Symbiobacterium thermophilum. Its description in RNAcentral is "SAM-I sequence". It matches the Rfam family "SAM riboswitch aptamer (S box leader)". Rfam says of the family: The SAM riboswitch is found upstream of a number of genes which code for proteins involved in methionine or cysteine biosynthesis in Gram-positive bacteria. The SAM riboswitch acts at the level of transcription termination control. Lineage: Bacteria; Bacillati; Bacillota; Clostridia; Eubacteriales; Symbiobacteriaceae. RNAcentral also lists the same sequence under 1 other name. The record is from RNAcentral.